Molecule: ribosomal RNA, 253 nt
Filed under: uncultured bacterium
Lineage: Bacteria
Description: partial 16S ribosomal RNA
Rfam family: Bacterial small subunit ribosomal RNA
Source: RNAcentral
UACGUAGGGCGCAAGCGUUGUCCGGAAUUAUUGGGCGUAAAGAGCUCGUAGGCGGUCUGUCACGUCGGCUGUGAAAACCCGGGGCUCAACCCCGGGCCUGCAGUCGAUACGGGCAGACUGGAGUCCGGCAGGGGAGACUGGAAUUCCCGGUGUAGCGGUGAAAUGCGCAGAUAUCGGGAGGAACACCGGUGGCGAAGGCGGGUCUCUGGGCCGGUACUGACGCUGAGGAGCGAAAGCGUGGGGAGCGAACAGG